UACGUAGGGUGCGAGCGUUAAUCGGAAUUACUGGGCGUAAAGCGUGCGCAGGCGGUUGAUUAAGUCUGAUGUGAAAGCCCCGGGCUCAACCUGGGAAUGGCAUUGGAAACUGGUCAGCUGGAGUGUGGCAGAGGGGGGUGGAAUUCCGCGUGUAGCGGUGAAAUGCGCAGAUAUCAGGAAGAACACCCGUGGCGAAGGCGGCUCUCUGGGACGGUACUGACGCUGAGACGCGAAAGCGUGGGGAGCGAACAGG
This 253-nucleotide ribosomal RNA is filed under the name uncultured bacterium. RNAcentral's name for it is "partial 16S ribosomal RNA". It matches the Rfam family "Bacterial small subunit ribosomal RNA", at positions 524 to 776 of the family's 1533-position model. The record is from RNAcentral.